GACGAACGCUGGCGGCGUGCCUAAUACAUGCAAGUUGAGCGCUGAAGGUUGGUACUUGUACCGACUGGAUGAGCAGCGAACGGGUGAGUAACGCGUGGGGAAUCUGCCUUUGAGCGGGGGACAACAUUUGGACACGAAUGCUAAGACCGCAUAAAAACUUUAAACACAAGUUUUAAGUUUGAAAGAUGCAAUUGCAUCACUCAAAGAUGAUCCCGCGUUGUAUUGGCUAGUUGGUGAGGUAAAGGCUCACCAAGGCGAUGAUACAUAGCCGACCUGAGAGGGUGAUCGGCCGCAUUGGGACUGAGACACGGCCCAAACUCCUACGGGAGGCAGCAGUAGGGAAUCGUGGGCAAUGGACGAAAGUCGGACCGCGCAACGACGCGUGAGUGAAGAAGGAUUUCGGAUCGUAAAACGCAGUCGGUAGAGAAGAGCGUUGGUGAGAGUGGGAAGCUCAUCAAGUGACGGUAACUGCACAGAAAGGGACGGCUAACUACGUG
RNAcentral lists this ribosomal RNA (497 nucleotides) under uncultured bacterium. RNAcentral's name for it is "partial 16S ribosomal RNA". It matches the Rfam family "Bacterial small subunit ribosomal RNA", at positions 28 to 507 of the family's 1533-position model. The record is from RNAcentral.